CAUGCAAAAAUGUUCCUGAGGGCUGUGUGAUCACACAGAUCUAAAUAUGUCACUCAGAGACAUAUUUAGGAGUGUUAUAAGUACAUAAGAGCAUAAGAACAGCCCUGUUGGAUCAGGCCCAAGGCCCAUCUAGUCCAGCAUCCUGUUUCACACAGUGACCCACCAGAUGCUGUUGGGAAGCCUAUAGGCAGGAGCUGAGGGCUAGGGGUCUAAACCAGACCCAAACUGGACCAGGGCCAGUUCAGUCUGGAACCCCUUGGUUCAGUUUGAGGUGGGGGUUGUGAACUUAAUUUUUAAAAAAGCAAAAAAGCUCACCCCCUUUGGUGGUGUUCUCCGAGGCGGCAGGAGGGUCCGUGGAGGUUUCCUCACUGGCCCCCUGUCUGUCCAAAAAUGGCCUGUUCAGUCAUUCUUCAGCCCGUUCAGGACUUUCCCCUUGGUGCGGCAGCCAUUUUGGAGGCUGCUGCCCCUGCGCAAUGGGCCUCUGCGUGGCCUGGGGGUUUUGCCUAUGUUUUUCUUUUAUUUUCUCAACAGCCCUGUGAGAUGGAUUAUAUUGAAGAACAGUGACUUGGUCAAGUAAUCUAACUGAACUUCAUGACAGUGCAGACUGGUCUUAAUGCAGCGGGCACAUUAGAUGUACACAAAGUAUUCCAUUUGGAAGACUGGAGGUAGAUUAGGGCCUUGGGCCAAACAACAGGAGAUACAGCUAUAGAAAAAUCAAGAAGCUUGGAGAAAGACACUUACAGUGCAUAUCAACCUGCUAUCGAUACCACUGCUGGAGGAAAUGCUGGAGGACCCCAGGAACAUCAACUGGGUAGCAUGGCUUUCCUCCUUGAGUUCAUCUGUGUCCUGGGAAGAGAUAUCUCUCUUUGAGCUUGCCACAGUCAGGCCACCUAUAGUGUGAUGACAACAAAGGAUCACACCUUCAGGAGUUCCAGUGAAGGUGCCAACUCAUUCAACCUUCAGAGAGAAGCACUGCAGAGAAAUGAGACAUAUUAUGGAACAGAACUGCCCCAAAUAAGACAUGAGGGGAAACAACCCAGGUGUGGGACAAAGCAGGUUUGUUCCUUCCGAUUUGUUAUGGCUUUGAGACCUCUAAUUUUGGGUGGAUUUAUAUUAAUGGUAUUUGUUAAAUCUUUAUAUUAAUGUAUCCAUAUUUUAUUCUUACUGCUGAUAUCUUUGCUGCUGUGUUUAUUUGUUUAGCUGACAUCAUUGGUUAUUGUGUUAUUUGAAUGAAUUAUACUGUUAUCUGUAAUAGAUUUGCUUUAAGAAAUAAAACCAUUAGAAAAUAAUUGAUAGUAGAUUUGUUAUUAGAAUGAUAUUUUGAUUAGCUAUGUGAUAAAUGGGUAUUGGUUGGUUGUGUUCAUUAUGCUUGAUGCAUGGCUAUUAUUACGUUUCUUUUGUUGUGAGCUACUUCAGAAAUGUUUGUGUGGAAAAGUGGCAUAUAAAUUAAAGUUGACAUUCAGAGCAACGAAGUGAAAGUGCUGCAACUAUGCCCCUAAGAGUUGUGCAGCCCUCGGGGACAUAUUUUGGGGUGAUACAGAGGGCUUCCUGGGGAAGGAGAGGGUGUCAAAAACUGCCGCUUCCCUGCUGCAUCAGUGCAAUUAGUUGGGAAGUUCUGUUAGGCUGCUCGCUUGCUGCACCUGUGCUUCCUUGUUUUGAAUGUCAGCUACUAAUCCUAAUAAGGAUACCCAGUAGGAAUUGUAUUUGUUUUUCUUUGAACAGCAGCCCUCUAUAACUAUAUUGCUUUUUGCUCUUUGCUAUAUUACAAAUUGCUUUUGAAGAUGCCCUCUGUUUCAAAUGUGGUUUGUCACAUGGUCUUGUAGACAGCUGUUCAAAUGAAAAGAAACAUUCUUCCACUCUUUGGGUGCACAGUAUAAGGUGCCCAAGUCUAGAAUGAUUGUAGAAAUCUUAUCCGUUACUAAAUGAAUCACCCCACAGAAAUUUAAUUAAGCAGGCAAAAGUCUAUCUCACAUAUAUAGAAAUUGGUAAAAAGGGAUACUACAGUGUUUUUGAUGUAUUCAAAUAAAAUGUCCAAAUUGAAAUUACUAGAGUUUACACAUCAUAUGUGUGCAGACUAGACUGCAAAAUAACACUAGAUUUUGAACUACAUUAUGAAAAUAAUUUUUAAUUUGAGCAUCCUCCAAGAAAAUGCUUAAAAAGCAAAUUGAAAAAAAAAUCACUUCAAACACAUUGGGCUUGUGUUUCUCUUAAUUGCAAUGAUAUCAAAUCAAAUAAUAUAGUUGAUAAGCACUGAAGAAAUUAAGUACAAAAGGAAACAAAUGGAUUGUUAUGAGAAAGCUGUAGCUGCAGUUAAAAAAAAAUGAAUCCAAGGAGAUAAAGCAGAUGAAAUGCCCUGUAACGUCUGAAAGAAAUUUAAAAAUGCCAACAGAUUGUCAUCAGAUCAAUUCAUUUUCUAAAAAGUUUGCUACAUAUUUCUUUGGGGAAUAGUUUAGCUAAUGAUACAUAGUGUGUGUGGAACACAACCGUAAACAGACAUGCAAUUCACCUGGUUUACAAUCUGCUCCGUGAUCUUUGUUCAUGCUUUUUAAAAGGAGUAUAUGAUUUGUAUGAGCAUAGGAAAAUAGAUUCAAAGACUCAACCAUUUAAAAGGAAAUUUAUGAAUAUUUUCCACUUGUACUUAGUCCAUCUAUUUCUGAUACUUGUUUGCAUUUCACAUCUGCUUAUUAACUAUGGAUGGAUACCUUCAGAUCCCCCCCCCCAGUGAAUAUUUGAGAAUGUGGAGUCCUAGCCUUUGUUUGUUUAUUUGGAGGUAAGCCUGUCUUCUGGGGAACUUACUCCUAAGUCAGAGGGCAUAGGACUCAGCCUCAGAUACAGGCAUGCAUGCAAAAAGAUGCUUAGUUUUGAUCACUUGUCAUCUUGUGUUCUUUCAUGCAUUUCUAUCUGAAUUUGUUCAGAUCUCAUAAAUAGGGCGGUGGGGGGGGGGGGAAGCAAAACACGCAUGCGAUUUUAAAGCAACGGUGUUCAAACCCAGCUUGUAGUCUUUCUGAUGCCCUCUGUUACUGAGCACAUGUUGCCCUCAGGUCUGUAACUGAGCUGCACUCAGCCUUUUAUGGCUGUGGCUGUCUCCCCUUUCACCAAAAGGCAGUGCACAUUGCAAUCUGCGUGUGACAGAAAAGAAGCGCCUUCCAGAAGCUGCUGUCAGAGCCUGGGAAAACAAAAAUCCCAUCGUUUCUAUUGCCCUUGUUCCACCCCACUUCACCCAUACACCAACCGUGCAUGGCCACUUGUCACUGACCCCUGCCUUGUCCCAUUUUCUUUUCACCCUUUGAGGUUGCACAUGUGCAACAGUGCUGAGCGGCCCCACGUUUUGAACCUGAUUGUACAACAUUGUCCAGCACAAACCAUGCAGAAAGUUCCUGGCUCAGUGCAGAGCCAGUGCUCAGGAAAGAGAAGGCUCCUUUAUAGGUGGUCAGCACAGAGCGGCACCGUUUUUAACAGAUGUUAUUGUGUUAGUAUCUGGCUACAGAAUCACUGGAGUAGAAAUGCUGGCUCUAAAGCUUGGGUGGGGAAAGGCACAAGAUCAGAUCCGUUAUAUUCCAUAUACCUGUAUUUUGUGGUACCCUCCCUGGAAUCAUCGGAUGACAUGUGUACUCUGUGGCUAUAAGAAAUAAACUCUCUUCCUGCUUUAAGUUGGUGCUUCUUGAUGAGAGGCUGCACCCAAGUUUCAAAUACUUCAUCCCAGCUGUUAGGCAUUUCUCCUACAUAAGAAUGCGGGGUUGGAGAAUAUGGUUUGCAGUCAGUAGGGGAAAGGGUGUCAUUUGAAUAGCAUAAUUUCUGGGGUAAAAUUAAUAAUUGGAAUAGGGAGCAACUCAAGAUGAAGAAUUAUUGAAUCCCUUCCGAUAAUACAUGGAUUCAACUAUCAGCUACAAAUGACUUGAUUAUCUUUUCAUUCAGAGUAGAUUAACGUUGGAUCUACAAAUGCAGCAGAAUGGGGUGGGAAGGAAAACUGACACUAAAUUUGUCUUUCCAUCUUUAAAAGAAAAGAAUAGCAGCCACCAUGAUGGAGGAGAACGAUGAUACAGGUAGUUCUCUUGGCACCAAGAGCAGCUUUGCUUGGGGGGCAAAUAACAGGGAUAAUUUCAUCAGGACUGUGGCGUGUGGGGAAGAAUGUAACCCCUCUCUACUUGUGUCACAGUUGUGAAUCUGGAAUGGGGACCCCCCCAUGACUGUUACAUUUUUAAAAAAGAUGAUGAUGUGUUCAAUGUCACUGCUAAUUCAACCCUUAAAGUCUAGCUAGAUGUUACAGCUGUUCACACAGGAAAAGUGAAAUAAAUUACCACUGUAGCCAAUUAAAGCUUUUCCCCCAGGGCAAAUAAUGUUACAGGACCCCCAAUCCAGAUCUGGACCAUGAUGGUAAAGUAGGUUUCUAGCCCUCUUACUUUCCACCACAGUCCGAGCUUGGAUCAGGCUCCACUGCAUGGGCUAUUGAUGCUCCACAAUACCAGGGGAAGCAGAUGCUUCUGGAAACAUCUCCAGAAUGGCAUGUGACUGCUGUCAUAGGGUCUACAGAGUGCUGUCUGUUUUUACUUAUAACGGCUGACAUCAAGAUUAAUGCUGUGCCAUUGCACAAAGGAAGGGACAAUUAUAAACAAUUUAUACUUAUCUCACCUUCCCUCUGAAGCCCACUGUGCUGCCUGAAAAUAUAUUCCUGAGGCAAUUAUUAUAAAUAGUAGUCUUAGUAGUUUUUUAUUUCAUGAUCCUCUUCAAGAACUAGAUGCUGGAAAUAAAAUGAAAAUAAGCCAUAUGCCCUGUCCACAGUCUUACAAUUUAAGUCACCUAACCAAAAGGAGAGAAAAGGCAGCUAUGUGAUUAAAGAGGUGGGCUUUUAAAAGGCAUUUGAAAUGCAUCAACAGCAGGAGUCAAGAGGUAAUGAGGUCAAGUAAAAGGGAGAAAGAGCACAGUUGUGGAUGGCACAGUUGUGGAUGGCAGGUGCAAUUUUUGCUUUUGGAGGGGCAAGGAAAGAAGAAAGUACAAAGGUACAUGGAGAGUGAGACGAAGAGAGCGAGAAUGAGAAGAAGAGAGAGAUAUGUGGGUGCAGAUGAAUGAAGUCAAGUGAAUGAGAUCCUGGUGAAGAUAUUUCUCCGUUCAGAGCCUCUGUCCUCUCCAAGUUGCUGAGAUAGGUGUAUCAUGAACUUCACAAGGAAACCCCCUUGAUUUAAAGACUGCAAAUUUGGACAUAGAGUUCAGUGCUGUGGAGAUUCUGCUUCAAAUGAUGUCACCUACCAGUGCUGAAAGUGCUGAGGAAAUUUCAGUGUUCAUUUGUGGGUUGGAGUAAGAUCCAUCUUGGUUUGUGCAAAAAUAAGUUGGAUCUCUUGCUUGUGACAUUUGUCAAACCUCCUUGAAGACAACAAACUACCUGAAAAUCCCCUUCAGUUGACUCCAUCGCCAUAACAUUUCUCUCUGGGGAAAUGUAGUAGAUGGAAUAUCUGAAUAUUAUUAUCUUCCUGGAUUCCACUAAGUCUGACAUGAUCCAAGUAUGACACUGAGAUAUUAUUGUACCUGUGGCUUUGACUGAUAACCUUCCUCUUAACAACUAGGUUUUCAGGACCACUCUACUGGGAGUCCAUGGAUAGGGGCUUAUUUUCCCCCAAAUAGAUCUACAGAGUACCAUGCUAAUAAGGAAAUAAUCACAAAGGUUAUCUUUGAUGGGCAGAAUAUCAACUGUUUUCAUCUAAAUACAAAAAUAUGCAUAGGGGUUUACUUUAACAAGGGUUUUUAUUCUAUGUAUAUAUUUGAACAAAACAUGGAGGAAAAGAUAAAAAUUAGGAUUUUAAUUUUUACUGUAGAACUGAGGAGAAACUAUUCAUUUCGGGAUUCAUCUAGAAUCAUGCUAAACUUUAGCACAUUAAAGAGCAAAUAAAUUGAAAAUCAGGCAGGUCUAAAGCAUGCAAGUUUUAUGUUCUAGUUUUCUAACAAACCCUGUAUUGUAUCAUAAAAAUAAAUACAUUCCUAUCAUUAUUUCUGUAAAAUGCUGCAUACUUGUUCAUUGAAAUGUCUAUUUGUGUGAUUUAUUUUUUUAUUUCUAGAAAGCUGUUCUUGCACAAACUUGUGCUAUGAUGUGAAAGAAACCUUAAAUGGCUUUUAAACCACUUAUAAACAAACAUUAUUAGCAAACCAUUUUAAUUACUGUACUAAAUGUAGUCUGAAUGUAAGCAUUUAUUAAUACAUGCUAUGCACUCAUUACAAAUUUUCAUGGAAAAAUGAUAAAAUAUUAUGUAUGAAAUGAAUCAUUAGCAUGGACCAUUAAGUCCUCUAUUUUCAUUUAAUUGAAUUUGUCAGUAGUACCCUCUUUAACUGAAAGCCAGUCAUAGCCACAGAAUUAAAUAAUAAUUAAAGAAACAAGUAUUCAAAGAAUUGCUUGGUAGCUAAGGUGCCAUUUAACCAAAACAUAGCAAUUUAAUGUAAAUUGCCAGCCAUAUUGGUGCCAUGCAGAAAAUUAUACAUCCUGGGGUUCAUAUAGGUUUGAUUUAUGCAACGAUUUUCACAGUUGCCAGUAUAAAUCCUGUAAGCUGCUCUGUAAACAUAAAGAAGGAUUCCGUGUGAGCAGGUGAGAAGAGAAAGAAAAGAAAGGCAUUCCCAGAUAGAAUAUUCACUAUGUGUUUUUUUCACUGCACACAUAGUCAUUAAGUAAUACUAGUGAAGUUUCAGAAAUUCUCAUUUCUUCGUUUGAAAAUACAUGUUUCAGUGGCUUAUAAUGUUAAUCAUGAAUAGAAUA
Hemicordylus capensis (graceful crag lizard) is the source of this 6736-nucleotide long non-coding RNA. RefSeq lists it as uncharacterized. NCBI's taxonomy places the organism in Eukaryota, Metazoa, Chordata, Lepidosauria, Squamata, Cordylidae. The transcript has 4 exons. The record is from RefSeq and is a predicted model, not a curated record.